GAUGAACGCUGGCGGCGUGCCUAAUACAUGCAAGUCGAGCGAAUAGAUGAGGAGCUUGCUCCUCUGACGUUAGCGGCGGACGGGUGAGUAACACGUGGAUAACCUACCUAUAAGACUGGGAUAACUUCGGGAAACCGGAGCUAAUACCGGAUAAUAUAUUGAACCGCAUGGUUCAAUAGUGAAAGACGGUUUUGCUGUCACUUAUAGAUGGAUCCGCGCCGCAUUAGCUAGUUGGUAAGGUAACGGCUUACCAAGGCAACGAUGCGUAGCCGACCUGAGAGGGUGAUCGGCCACACUGGAACUGAGACACGGUCCAGACUCCUACGGGAGGCAGCAGUAGGGAAUCUUCCGCAAUGGGCGAAAGCCUGACGGAGCAACGCCGCGUGAGUGAUGAAGGUCUUCGGAUCGUAAAACUCUGUUGUUAGGGAAGAACAAAUGUGUAAGUAACUAUGCACGUCUUGACGGUACCUAAUCAGAAAGCCACGGCUAACUACGUG
Molecule: ribosomal RNA, 497 nt
Filed under: uncultured bacterium
Lineage: Bacteria
Description: partial 16S ribosomal RNA
Rfam family: Bacterial small subunit ribosomal RNA
Source: RNAcentral